This is a long non-coding RNA of Notothenia coriiceps (black rockcod), 201 nucleotides long. RefSeq lists it as uncharacterized. The record is from RefSeq and is a predicted model, not a curated record. The transcript has 5 exons. NCBI's taxonomy places the organism in Eukaryota, Metazoa, Chordata, Actinopteri, Perciformes, Nototheniidae.
ACGUCUCCAGGUUUUUGUAUUUUAGACUUCUUCUUCUUUUGUGUAACUUUAGAGGUCCAACUCGGUGUCGUGUAGCCAUGCCCGCAUCUCUGGUCCUAGGUCGAAGAGGCUGGCUUCCGAGGGUGGUCUAUAUAAGGGGCAGAUGGUGAUUAUAUGGUCAGCGGUCUGCUCAGGGUCACCGCACUCGCAUGCCGCACUGUC